This 1372-nucleotide ribosomal RNA is filed under the name uncultured bacterium. Its description in RNAcentral is "bacterial SSU rRNA". It matches the Rfam family "Bacterial small subunit ribosomal RNA", at positions 28 to 1381 of the family's 1533-position model. The record is from RNAcentral.
GAUGAACGCUGGCGGCGUGCCUAAUACAUGCUUGUCGAGCGAACAGACGAGGAGCUUGCUCCUUUGACGUUAGCGGCGGACGGGUGAGUAACACGUGGGUAACCUACCUAUAAGACUGGGAUAACUUCGGGAAACCGGAGCUAAUACCGGAUAAUAUUUCGAACCGCAUGGUUCGAUAGUGAAAGAUGGCCCUGCUAUCACUUAUAGAUGGACCUGCGCCGUAUUAGCUAGUUGGUAAGGUAACGGCUUACCAAGGCAACGAUACGUAGCCGACCUGAGAGGGUGAUCGGCCACACUGGAACUGAGACACGGUCCAGACUCCUACGGGAGGCAGCAGUAGGGAAUCUUCCGCAAUGGGCGAAAGCCUGACGGAGCAACGCCGCGUGAGUGAUGAAGGUCUUCGGAUCGUAAAACUCUGUUAUUAGGGAAGAACAAACGUGUAAGUAACUGUGCACGUCUUGACGGUACCUAAUCAGAAAGCCACGGCUAACUACGUGCCAGCAGCCGCGGUAAUACGUAGGUGGCAAGCGUUAUCCGGAAUUAUUGGGCGUAAAGCGCGCGUAGGCGGUUUUUUAAGUCUGAUGUGAAAGCCCACGGCUCAACCGUGGAGGGUCAUUGGAAACUGGAAAACUUGAGUGCAGAAGAGGAAAGUGGAAUUCCAUGUGUAGCGGUGAAAUGCGCAGAGAUAUGGAGGAACACCAGUGGCGAAGGCGACUUUCUGGUCUGUAACUGACGCUGAUGUGCGAAAGCGUGGGGAUCAAACAGGAUUAGAUACCCUGGUAGUCCACGCCGUAAACGAUGAGUGCUAAGUGUUAGGGGGUUUCCGCCCCUUAGUGCUGCAGCUAACGCAUUAAGCACUCCGCCUGGGGAGUACGACCGCAAGGUUGAAACUCAAAGGAAUUGACGGGGACCCGCACAAGCGGUGGAGCAUGUGGUUUAAUUCGAAGCAACGCGAAGAACCUUACCAAAUCUUGACAUCCUUUGACCCUUCUAGAGAUAGAAGUUUCCCCUUCGGGGGACAAAGUGACAGGUGGUGCAUGGUUGUCGUCAGCUCGUGUCGUGAGAUGUUGGGUUAAGUCCCGCAACGAGCGCAACCCUUAAGCUUAGUUGCCAUCAUUAAGUUGGGCACUCUAAGUUGACUGCCGGUGACAAACCGGAGGAAGGUGGGGAUGACGUCAAAUCAUCAUGCCCCUUAUGAUUUGGGCUACACACGUGCUACAAUGGACAAUACAAAGGGCAGCGAAACCGCGAGGUCAAGCAAAUCCCAUAAAGUUGUUCUCAGUUCGGAUUGUAGUCUGCAACUCGACUACAUGAAGCUGGAAUCGCUAGUAAUCGUAGAUCAGCAUGCUACGGUGAAUACGUUCCCGGGUCU